Molecule: long non-coding RNA, 802 nt
Filed under: Numida meleagris (helmeted guineafowl)
Lineage: Eukaryota; Metazoa; Chordata; Aves; Galliformes; Numididae
Description: lncRNA (ENSNMEG00000012369.1)
Source: RNAcentral
CCGAGAUAAAUGGUGCCAUACAGAUUAAUUCCUAUCUAAGCACAGUGCUGCACAUUCAUCUUAUUCCCUGAGAUACAUCAUCUGCAAAGUGGAAAGUCCCAAGUAAGCCAGCUACAGCAUUUUCACACUAUCCCCCUAGGAUGUACAGACCCAUAAAGGGACUUUCCUCGUUCAUUUCUUACAGAAAUGCCCUGCAGAUGCCAGCUGAAACAGUCCAGGAGAUUAACACUCAGGCUGCUGUAACACCAUGGGCUGCUGUCCCUGCGUGCUUAGGAAGAUUUGUGAGCAAAGAGAAGAGAAGAAUAACCACAAAACAACAACAACAAGAUACCCUCUGCAACAAAGCAGAGCCCACUAGAAAGCAAAGAUCCCAGGUGAUGCCCAAAGCGAGGACUCUGAAAUUUGAUAAGCGAUGCUAUAAAGCAGAAACUCCAAAGAAAAAAACAGAAUGCCUGUUCUCGUGCAACUUUGCCUCCAGCUCUGGAUCUUGCAAGGACUGAAUUCAUGAUAAAUUAUGCUACGGAAAGACAUCUCUCCAGCUUCUAUAUGUACAGCGACUCACUGGAAAUGAAAGGACGUCUGGAACAGCUACCCGGGGAAAGCAGGCGCUCGCAUCCCCACUCCCUGGGAGACAGAUUUUCUCUCACCCAGCUCAAGUAGCCACUGGAAACAGCCUCUCCUAGCAAGGCUACAGGCACGUUGAGCUCGAGCACUUAUAGAUAUAAAUCAGUUCGUAAUUAUAAACCUAAUUAUUCCGAUUGAAAAGAAUAAAGCAGGAGCUGUUUGCCUGGAGGCUUUGAGU